CCUACGGGAGGCAGCAGUCGAGAAUCAUUCACAAUGGGGGAAACCCUGAUGGUGCGACGCCGCGUGGGGGAAUGAAGGUCUUCGGAUUGUAAACCCCUGUCAUGUGGGAGCAAAUUAAAAAGAUAGUACCACAAGAGGAAGAGACGGCUAACUCUGUGCCAGCAGCCGCGGUAAUACAGAGGUCUCAAGCGUUGUUCGGAACCACUGGGCGUAAAGCGUGCGUAGGCUGUUUCGUAAGUCGUGUGUGAAAGGCGCGGGCUCAACCCGCGGACGGCACAUGAUACUGCGAGACUAGAGUAAGGGAGGGGGAACCGGAAUUCUCGGUGUAGCAGUGAAAUGCGUAGAUAUCGAGAGGAACACUCGUGGCGAAGGCGGGUUCCUGGACAGUAACUGACGCUGAGGCACGAAGGCCAGGGGAGCGAAAGGGAUUAGAUACCCGGGUAGUC
RNAcentral lists this ribosomal RNA (446 nucleotides) under uncultured bacterium. RNAcentral's name for it is "partial 16S ribosomal RNA". It matches the Rfam family "Bacterial small subunit ribosomal RNA", at positions 338 to 795 of the family's 1533-position model. The record is from RNAcentral.